AGCAAAAGUGACCUGACCCGCCGGCCACCGCGCUACCCCAUUACUCGACUGGUUCCGCUCGUGGCGGCCGCCGCCGCCGCCAUCCUCCUGCCGUUUCUGGCUACUCUCACAAUCACCAGGCGCUGGCCUCUCGUGUGCACGAGCGCACGCCAUGCUCAGGCGCCUAUCCAAGAGUCCAUUGCUCCCGCGCCGGCGGCUCCUCCUCCUCCUCCUCCUCCAGCCCCGCCGCCCCUGCGCCAACGCAACACCCUCGGCGGCCGCCGGGGAGAUCGCGCCGGCUCCCGCCACGAAUGAGGUUCCCCUCGGAGAUGACCUCGCGGAGGAGUCGCGCAGCCGCCUCGUGCGGGACACCUGCCGGCUGCUCGAGCUCCGGGACUCGUGGAACGCGAAGCGGGAGGCGCAGCUCCGGCACCUCCUCCGCGUGCUCUCCCCGCCGCAGGUCCGCGCGGUGCUGCGCGCGCAGGCGCAGCGGGACGCCCGCGCCGCGUUCGAGUUCUUCCGCUGGGCCGACCGCCAGUGGAAGUACCGCCACGCCCCGGAGGUGUUCGACGAAAUGCUGGCGCUCCUCAGCCGCACCAGGCUCCACGACCCGGCGCGCCGCGUCAUGCGCCUCAUGAUCCGCCGGGGCAUGCGGCGGGGGCCGCAGCAGUUCGCACACCUCAUGCUGUCCUACAGUCGCGCGGGGAAGCUCCGUUCCGCCAUGCGCGUGCUCCAGCUCAUGCAGAAGGAUGGGUGUGCGCCCGACAUAUCUAUAUGCAACGUGGCGGUGAACGUGCUUGUCGUGGCUGGCCGCGUCGACAAGGCGCUCGAAUUUGCCGAAAGGAUGCGGCGUGUUGGGGUUGACCCGGACGUAGUCACGUACAAUUGCCUGAUCAAAGGAUUGUGUGGAGCUCGGCGGGUCAUUGAUGCACUGGAGAUGAUCGGUUCGAUGCUGCAAAAUGGGUGUCCACCAGAUAAGAUCAGCUACUUUACAGUGAUGAGCUUCUUGUGCAAGGAGAAGAGGGUGGCAGAGGUGCGGAAUUUACUUGAGAGGAUGAGGAAUGAUGCAGGUCUAUUUCCAGAUCAGGUCACGUAUAACAUGCUUAUUCAUGUUCUUGCAAAGCAUGGUCAUGCAGAUGAAGCAUUGGGGUUCCUGAGGGAGUCAGAGGGGAAAAGAUUCCGUGUUGAUGAAGUUGGUUAUAGUGCGAUUGUGCACUCAUUUUGCUUGAACGGUAGGAUGGCAGAGGCAAAGGAAAUUGUAAGCGAGAUGAUUUCAAAAGGGUGCCACCCUGAUGUUGUAACAUAUAGUGCAGUUGUUGAUGGAUUCUGCCGGACUGGGGAACUCGAUCAAGCAAGAAAGAUGAUGAAGCAUAUGUAUAAGAGUGGUUGCAAGCCAAAUACAGUCACACAUACUGCACUGUUAAAUGGGCUUUGCAAAGUCGGAAAGACUUCAGAAGCAUGGGAAUUGCUAAACAAGAGCGAAGAGGAAUGGUGGACUCCCAGUGAUAUCACAUACAGUGUUGUUAUGCAUGGAUUUAGGAGGGAAGGGAAGUUAAAGGAAUCAUGUGAUGUGGUAGUGCAGAUGUUGCAGAAGGGUUUCUUCCCCACAACUGUGGAGAUUAACUUAUUGAUUCAUGCUUUAUGCAAGGAAGGAAAGCCAGCAGAGGCCAAAGACUUCAUGCAGCAGUGCCAAAGCAAGGGCUGCUCCAUUAAUGUUGUUAACUUCACAACUGUAAUUCAUGGAUUUUCUCGCCAGGGUGAUUUGGAAUCGGCGCUCUCUUUACUGGAUGACAUGUAUCUGACCAACAGGCAUCCUGAUGUUGUUACGUACACUGUUGUUGUCGAUGCUCUAGGAAAGAAAGGUAAAAUGAAAGAAGCCACAGAUCUUGUUCAGAAAAUGCUUAAAAGAGGUUUGCUCCCUACACCUGUCACAUACAGGACGGUGAUACAUAGAUAUUGUGAAAGGGGUAAAGUUGAAGAGUUACUCAUUCUGCUGGAUAAGAUGUUAGCAAGGCAAGAGUUUAGUAGUGCGUACAAUCAAGUUAUUGAGAAGCUAUGUGCAUUUGGUAAACUUAGUGAGGCUUAUAAUCUUCUCAGCAAGGUACUAAGAACUGCAUCAAAAAGAGAUGCUCAAACAUGCCACGUUUUGAUAGAGGGGUUUCUGAAUAGAGGACUGCCACUCCAAUCAUAUAAUGUGGCCUGCCGCAUGUUCCAGAGAAACUUAAUUCCUGAUCUUAAGUUAUGUCAGAAUGUUGAAAGUAAGCUGGCCCUAGCGGGAGAGACACAAGCAGCUGGAAAGCUUAUCAUUAAGUUUGUUGAAAGAGGACCAUUACAUGGCCUUGUACCUUGUACAGAGAUUUGUGCUCAGGGCUCAUGGCAUGAGUCUUAUAUUACAGUAACAUGUCAGCAACUCCUCCGGAGCUGGAUAUCUAUGCAACUUGAUGUCACUACCAGAUCUUCAACUUUGUGACCGGUGAGCAUGAGUGAUGAUAUUUUUUUUGUUGAACUGCAACUGCAACUUCAAGCUGUCCAAUGAAAGUUAGCGCAUAAUCUUUUUAUUUGAUCUGUCCUUUCUUUAUUUGAAACACAGAGAGAUGGAAACAAUAGGGACAGCUCUACUGGAAAUAUGACCAUUUCUGUCAACCCUGUUGUUGUUCAGGCUUGCAGUACUUGAAAAUACUGCUGUAUAGUUCACCUACAUAGUUACACCCAUAUUCUGGUGACUGGAGGGAUAUAAUGUAGUAAUAAGGCCAACACUUGAAGUUGAGUCCAUUUCCUUGUGAAAUAUUAUGAUAAACUGAUCAGUAGGUUUCAUGGCACCAGUAAUUUUCUUUGAACUGGUAGGUUACUAAGGCCCUCUCCUAAGCUGUGACGCCACUUGCUAUUCACACUUCACCACUUCCACCAUUCCACAAACCUCUUCAGCCAGCAAGUUGACUGGUAGCUGUGCCCCCAGGAAGAACUCGUGGAGGGGACAAUGGGGGUGAAGGCAGCAAUGUGAUGGCACGGUUGCUGGACAUCAAGGAUUCGUCGGGUGCUUCGGAGGAGCAGCUGCAGCGAGGUCUUGUACCAUGGGCGUGCUAGCACAGCUGACAGCGUGGGAGGCAGGCAACCUGUGGCGCAUCUCAUGGGCAUCUAUCCUCAUCACGCUCUUCAGCUUCACACUCAGCCUCAUCACACAGAUGUUUGUGGGACACCUCAGUGAGCUUGAGCCUGCCGGUGCAUCGAUCGG
This is an RNA transcript of Panicum hallii, 3211 nucleotides long. It is a transcript of the gene named pentatricopeptide repeat-containing protein At5g41170, mitochondrial-like, with no coding region annotated. The transcript has 3 exons. Lineage: Eukaryota; Viridiplantae; Streptophyta; Magnoliopsida; Poales; Poaceae. The record is from RefSeq and is a predicted model, not a curated record.